Long non-coding RNA from Heterocephalus glaber (naked mole-rat), 1382 nucleotides. Lineage: Eukaryota; Metazoa; Chordata; Mammalia; Rodentia; Bathyergidae. The record is from Ensembl.
UCCUUGAAUGGAAAAAAUGAAACUGAACAGAUGAGUUUAAUGUUAGGAAAAAGGAAAGGAAAGAGAGGUCAAAUUUCUCUAAUUUGCUAUUUCAGAACAAACCUGAGAGGGACCACCCUGGCCCUGCUCCCCUACAGGCUAUAAGCCUUUUUAAAGAAAUCGUGAAGAAUAAAACAAGUGCUGUGGCAGUUGAAGAGAGAUGAAAAAAGACUUAGGGUGAAAACCGAGACCAAUGAAGAGGCCCUCUCAUUAAUCCAGAUAGAGAUGGUGGCUUGGGGCAUGGAUAUUGCAUUGGAGGUGACGAAAGAUGGCCAGCAUUGGGAAAAACAGGAUGAAAGGUACAAGUGUGGGUACGGACUAAUGAAGUCACAUACACAUUACAUUUUAUUGACAAUGGAAUUUCUGUCUGUACACAGAAUAUGAAUUACAAAUGGAUAUUAACUACACAAAGCCCAGUUGAACUUAUAAAAAGUUACUUCAACAGGUUUUGUGUUAUAUAGCUUAGUGAAAGGAAAAUGCAGUUACUUAGCACCACUUCAGAAUAGCUGCUUUAAGUGUAGACACAUAUGCACAAAGACAUCACAUCACCAUCAUCAUCAUCAUACAUAACCAAAUAGUAAGUCUCCAAACAAAGUCAAUAACUGACUUACAGAAUAAAUAUUAGAGUUUCUUAUAAAGUAGUGGUUGACAGCAAAUUUUAAAAGCAGCUGAGAGAUCAGCAAAAUUGUAAGAAAGUCUAACAUAUUUUGAAGUUGGAUGUGACUUUUAGCAACAUAUAAAUGGGUUAAAAAAUGUGAGUCUUAUUCACAUUAUAAAUGAAAACACCAGUGAAGUGCAAUUUCAAAUAAUUAAGAACUUUUAGUUCAUGAUAAAGAGGCCAAGAUAUCCCCAUAAACAUUCUUAGAAUUGCAAAGGGGAGGCACUCAUCUCUAGUGAAGGGCAGAUGUGGCCCCAGGCCUGUUAAUCACAAGCAUCAGCAUCACAGAGAUGGGCCUAUCAGCUUCCUGGGGGUUUUGUUUCCGCCUCAGCUACAUAGUUGAGGGAGGGAGUUUAUUUCUAGCAGCCUGUAAUGGACUUUUCCACUGAAAAAGAAAUUAAACCACCUUAAGACUACCUGCUUUAAAGAAACAUUGAGAAUAUAAUAAAAAUUAAGCCUGUUAAAUAUAUGCACUUUUUACUUCCCCGUAUAAUACCAUAGUUUAGAAAUAAUCUGUAUUGUUGCUGUGGAAAUCUGGUCACAGAAUCUCAGCAUGUUGUUUAAAAAUUUGAAAAUGAAUCAUCAAACAAUUUUAUAUAUAUAUACAUAUAUAUAUACACAUAUAUACAUAUAUAUAUACAUAUUCCUAAAAUAAUUUUUAAAUGUCCCUGAAUUUGGGUUAAAU